AAUCAACGCUGGCGGCGUGCCUCAGACAUGCAAGUCGAACGAUUAAAGCUCUCUUCGGAGAGUGCAUAGAGUGGCGCACGGGUGAGUAACACGUAAGUAAUCUACCUUCGAGUGGGGAAUAACGUCCGGAAACGGACGCUACUACCGCAUAAUGCAGCGGCAUCGUAAGAUGACAGUUGUUAAAGAUUUAUCGCUUGAAGAGGAGCUUGCGGCAGAUUAGCUAGUUGGUAAGGUAAUGGCUUACCAAGGCUACGAUCUGUAACCGGUCUUAGAGGACGGUCGGUCACACUGACACUGAAUAACGGGUCAGACUCCUACGGGAGGCAGCAGUCGGGAAUUUUGGGCAAUGGGCGAAAGCCUGACCCAGCAACGCCGCGUGAAGGAUGAAGUAUUUCGGUAUGUAAACUUCGAAAGAAUAGGAAGAAUAAAUGACGGUACUAUUUGUAAGGUCCGGCUAACUACGUGCCAGCAGCCGCGGUAA
This 481-nucleotide ribosomal RNA is filed under the name uncultured bacterium. RNAcentral describes it as "bacterial SSU rRNA". It matches the Rfam family "Bacterial small subunit ribosomal RNA", at positions 32 to 523 of the family's 1533-position model. The record is from RNAcentral.